This 253-nucleotide ribosomal RNA is filed under the name uncultured bacterium. RNAcentral describes it as "partial 16S ribosomal RNA". It matches the Rfam family "Bacterial small subunit ribosomal RNA", at positions 524 to 776 of the family's 1533-position model. The record is from RNAcentral.
GACGAACCGUGCGAACGUUGUUCGGAUUCACUGGGCUUAAAGGGCGCGUAGGCGGGUGGUCAAGUCAGGGGUGAAAGCCCACGGCCCAACCGUGGAAGUGCCUCUGAUACUGACUGUCUUGAGGGAGGUAGGGGCAUGCGGAACUUCCGGUGGAGCGGUGAAAUGCGUAGAUAUCGGAAGGAACGCCGGUGGCGAAAGCGGCGUGCUGGACCUCUUCUGACGCUGAGGCGCGAAAGCCAGGGGAGCGAACGGG